UCAAAAUAUCAAAUCCCUUUCCUUCCA
This 27-nucleotide non-coding RNA is filed under the name Mus musculus (house mouse). The record is from RNAcentral. Lineage: Eukaryota; Metazoa; Chordata; Mammalia; Rodentia; Muridae.